AAAGGUGACAAUCUACCAUUUAGUUAGUUUCAGAGAGGAACUCAAUUGCAGCGGAACAGCAAAUUCCUUAUAAUCACAAUGCUCAGGAGCACCUAGAAACUGGAAACAGGCCCCAAAAGAUGUGGUGGCACUGAGGCUUUUAAUAUAGAAGCAACAGGUAUUCAAAAGGGGGCAGGCUGUCAGACAGUCCAGAGAUCAAAGGCAGGCAGCUAGAGAGCAAGAUCAAAAAUGAAGCCAAAGGUCAAAAGCCGGGAAGGCAGCAUCAAGAGUCUAGAGCUUGGCACAAGAACAACCAAACACUGAGUGGGGGAAAUUUAUGGGUUAUACAGGCUGACAAAAUCACAUGACCGGC
Molecule: non-coding RNA, 352 nt
Organism: Pelobates cultripes (western spadefoot toad)
Lineage: Eukaryota; Metazoa; Chordata; Amphibia; Anura; Pelobatidae
Source: the annotation of a GenBank genome assembly